UACGGGGGGGGCGAGCGUUGUUCGGAAUUACUGGGCGUAAAGGGUUUGUAGGUGGUCUGCUAAGUCAGACGUGAAAUCCCUCAGCUUAACUGGGGAACUGCGUCUGAUACUGGCGGACUUGAGGACAGGAGAGGAACGCGGAAUUCCAGGUGUAGCGGUGAAAUGCGUAGAUAUCUGGAGGAACACCGGUGGCGAAGGCGGUUCUCUGGGAAUUACCUGACGCUGAGGAGCGAAAGCAUGGGGAGCGAACAGG
This 253-nucleotide ribosomal RNA is filed under the name uncultured bacterium. RNAcentral's name for it is "partial 16S ribosomal RNA". It matches the Rfam family "Bacterial small subunit ribosomal RNA", at positions 524 to 776 of the family's 1533-position model. The record is from RNAcentral.